RNAcentral lists this ribosomal RNA (450 nucleotides) under uncultured bacterium. Its description in RNAcentral is "partial 16S ribosomal RNA". It matches the Rfam family "Bacterial small subunit ribosomal RNA", at positions 354 to 796 of the family's 1533-position model. The record is from RNAcentral.
GUGGGGAAUCUUCCGCAAUGGACGAAAGUCUGACGGAGCAACGCCGCGUGAGUGAAGAAGGUUUUCGGAUCGUAAAGCUCUUUCGUUAGGGACGAACGUGCUCUUUGUGAAUAAUGAGGAGUAAUGACGGUACCUAAAUAAGAAGCCACGGCUAACUACGUGCCAGCAGCCGCGGUAAUACGUAGGUGGCAAGCGUUGUCCGGAAUUAUUGGGCGUAAAGCGCGCGCCGGCGGGAUAUCAAGUCUGUCUUAAAAGUGCGAGGCUCAACCUCGUGAGGGGACAGAAACUGGUAUUCUUGAGUGUCGGAGAGGAAAGUGGAAUUCCAAGUGUAGCGGUGAAAUGCGUAGAGAUUUGGAAGAACACCAGUGGCGAAGGCGACUUUCUGGACGAUGUCUGACGCUGAGGCGCGAAAGCUAGGGGAGCGAACGGGAUUAGAUACCCUGGUAGUCC